CAUGCAUGUCUAAGUAUAAGCAAUUAUACAGCGAAACUGCGAAUGGCUCAUUAUAUCAGUUAUAAUCUACUUGAUCGAUUCUGUUAUUUGGAUAACUGUAGGAAUUCUAGAGCUAAUACAUGCAAAAGGACCGGAGUGGGGGUAACCUUAUGAAGGUCGCGUUUACUAGUAUAGAAACCAAGAUGGGGCGCAAGCCUCAUUUAACAGAUGAUUCAUAGUAAGCUUUGACGCGAAUCGAGGUUUCGGCCUCGAUGAUGCAAACGAGUUUCUGCCCUAUCAACUUUCAAUCGUAGUGUAGAGGACUACGAUGGUUGUAACGGGUACGGGGAAUUAGGGUUCGAUUCCGGAGAGGCCGCCUGAGAAACGGCGACCACUUCCAAGGAAGGCAGCAGGCGCGUAAAUUAUCCAAUCCCAAUUCGGGGAGAUAGUGACAAGAAAUAGCGGUGUAGGGCCUUUUCAGGUUCUACGAUCGCAAUGAGUACAAUUUAAAAACCUUAACGAGGAACAAUUGGAGGGCAAGUCUGGUGCCAGCAGCCGCGGUAAUUCCAGCUCCAAGAGUGUAUAUUAAAGUUGUUGCGGUUAAAAAGCUCGUAGUUGGACCUUGAGGUUGAGUACAUCGGUUCUCCGUUGCUUCGGCAGUAGGGGUUAAAACCGAGUAAUUCUUCCUCUAUUCUCGGAACGUUCACAAUCAGAAAUAGUUGGUUUCGUAGGAUUUACUUUGAAUAAAUUAGGGUGUUUAAAGCAGGCAUAAAAGCCUUGAAUACAUUAGCAUGGGAUAAUAAAAGAUGACCUUUGGUCUAAACUUUAUUGGUUUCUAAGGCCUAGGUAAUGAUUGAUAGGGAUAGUUGAGGUCGCUCGU
RNAcentral lists this ribosomal RNA (859 nucleotides) under Copromyxa sp. SkGuaC. RNAcentral describes it as "bacterial SSU rRNA". It matches the Rfam family "Eukaryotic small subunit ribosomal RNA", at positions 50 to 895 of the family's 1831-position model. The record is from RNAcentral. Lineage: Eukaryota; Tubulinea; Elardia; Euamoebida; Hartmannellidae.